GCGGGUGUCGUAUAGUGGCUAUUAUACCUCUCUUCCAAAGAGGAGAUGGCGGUUCGAUUCCGCUCACCCGCUCCA
RNAcentral lists this transfer RNA (75 nucleotides) under Candidatus Liptonbacteria bacterium GWC1_60_9. RNAcentral describes it as "tRNA-Gly". It matches the Rfam family "tRNA". From Rfam's summary of the family: Transfer RNA (tRNA) molecules are approximately 80 nucleotides in length. Their secondary structure includes four short double-helical elements and three loops (D, anti-codon, and T loops). RNAcentral also lists the same sequence under 3 other names. Lineage: Bacteria; Candidatus Liptoniibacteriota. The record is from RNAcentral.